CUACGGGGGGCUCCAGUGAGGAAUAUUGCACAAUGGGGGGAACCCUGAUGCAGCAACGCCGCGUGGAGGAUGACGCAUUUCGGUGUGUAAACUCCUUUUAUAUGUCAAGAAAAUGACGGUAGCAUAUGAAUAAGCACCGGCUAACUCCGUGCCAGCAGCCGCGGUAAUACGGAGGGUGCAAGCGUUACUCGGAAUCACUGGGCGUAAAGGACGCGUAGGCGGGUUGGAAAGUCAGGUGUGAAAUCCUACAGCUUAACUGUAGAACUGCACUUGAAACUUCUAAAUCUAGAGUAUGGGAGGGGGAGAAGGAAUUAGUGGUGGAGGGGUAAAAUCCGUAGAUAUCACUAGGAAUACCUAAAGCGAAGGCGAUCUCCUGGAACAUUACUGACGCUAAGGCGUGAAAGCGUGGGGAGCAAACAGGAUUAGAUACCCCCGUAGUC
RNAcentral lists this ribosomal RNA (440 nucleotides) under uncultured bacterium. RNAcentral's name for it is "partial 16S ribosomal RNA". It matches the Rfam family "Bacterial small subunit ribosomal RNA", at positions 339 to 795 of the family's 1533-position model. The record is from RNAcentral.